GACCCAAUGGCACAACGGUUAGUGCACUUGCUUCAGUUAAUUUGUGACCAUUAGAUGGUUUGGGCAAGAGGUCCUCGUUCGAUUCGGGGUUGGGCCA
Molecule: non-coding RNA, 97 nt
Organism: Mycena alexandri
Lineage: Eukaryota; Fungi; Basidiomycota; Agaricomycetes; Agaricales; Mycenaceae
Source: the annotation of a GenBank genome assembly